This 558-nucleotide ribosomal RNA is filed under the name uncultured Taphrinaceae. RNAcentral describes it as "eukaryotic LSU rRNA". The stretch from base 154 to 307 matches the Rfam family "5.8S ribosomal RNA". Lineage: Eukaryota; Fungi; Ascomycota; Taphrinomycetes; Taphrinales. The record is from RNAcentral.
UCUCUCUUCUACACACUUGUGAACUUACACUGUUGCUUUGGCAGGUUUCUGGAUGAGCGUAAGCUCGGAAGGUUAGACCGAAAGGUGCUUGCCAGAGACAUUUAUCUACCCUUUUUAUUUUGUCUGAUUUUUGUUUUUAACAAAUUAUAAUAAAACUUUCAACAAUGGAUCUCUUGGCUCUGGCAUCGAUGAAGAACGCAGCGAAAUGCGAUAAGUAAUGUGAAUUGCAGAAUUCAGUGAAUCAUCGAAUCUUUGAACGCACAUUGCGCCCUCUGGUAUUCCGGAGGGCAUGCCUGUUUGAGUGUCAUUAAUCUCUCACAAAACCUUCUGGUUUCUGUUGAUGUUGGGAGCUGCGACCCUUUGAGGGACGCUCUCCUCAAAUGUAUUGGUGCGGCCUGCCGCCCGGUUACACAACGUUCUAGGUUCGUCCAACUCGUUGACAUGCCGGUGCACUUUUGGUGCUGCACCUAAAGCCCGCCUUGUGCCUUGUGCUCUUGGCUUUUUCAUUUAUUGACCUCAGAUCAGGUAGGAAUACGCGCUGAACUUAAGCAUAUCAAU